ACUGGAUGUUGAAGAAUAUAAUACACGGGAAUCGCACGAGCGUGUUCCAAACCGUGAUUGCUUCUGUCCAAAUCGAAGAAGUUGUGAAAGUUCAGCAUGAAAUUACACACGGGAGUGUGCUAAGCCGUUUCAUAAGGUGAAGGACAUGGCAUAACCGUUUGCCAAGUCGUGUCAAAUAGAAGAGAGUUUUCUUUCAUAAGAAACUCAGAAAUUUAGAGCAAAAUAGGGUCUCCUUUGAGUCUUGGCUAUAAAAGGGGGGACAGUUAGCUAUUUUAGAAAGAACAACCAUCAUAGAUACAAGCUUUUGAAGACUCAUUCAAGGAGAUCAAAAAGAUUUGUGCAAAGAUU
Molecule: long non-coding RNA, 348 nt
Filed under: Ricinus communis (castor bean)
Lineage: Eukaryota; Viridiplantae; Streptophyta; Magnoliopsida; Malpighiales; Euphorbiaceae
Description: long non-coding RNA (RCOM_LNC001181)
Source: RNAcentral